Molecule: long non-coding RNA, 539 nt
Organism: Myotis lucifugus (little brown bat)
Lineage: Eukaryota; Metazoa; Chordata; Mammalia; Chiroptera; Vespertilionidae
Exons: 2
Source: RefSeq, a predicted model, not a curated record
GCUCCCGGAGCGCCCCCGGAUGUAGCGCCGCCAGCGCACAGGAGGGGCAGGAACGAGUGCGCCUGGGACCAGCGGUGCCCUGGUUUAAACAAGAAGGCAAAAGGGAAGGGCAGCCGAAGGCACAUUCUACCCUGGCUGGAGCCACCUGGAGAUGCAGCCCUUUCUCCCCAUUUGGAGCUGCCUAUUAUCAUGGAAAGAUUCACAAAGAUUUGUUAGGGAAACCAGAAUCGCCAGUCCUUUGAAGAUCCCCAGCCCUUUUGCACACCUGCAGGCUUUGCAGACCUCCAGCCUGCUAACCUGUUAACUGCCCGUCUGGCACUCCCUUUGGCUAUUUCCCCAUGUAACCCCAACCCUUGCAUAUCGCUAAGCCCUUUGAAGACCCCUAGUCCUUUUGCAUAUCUGUAAACUGCCCUUUUGCCUUUGUGCUUUUGCUAUGUAAGCAACUGGCUUAUGGUGGGGUGCAGAGCAGAUUUCUGUGGCUGACCUGCUGUUCUCUCAUACUGCGGGCAGUACUGGAAUAAAUGCUCAUCUAUGAUUCA